This 439-nucleotide ribosomal RNA is filed under the name uncultured bacterium. RNAcentral describes it as "partial 16S ribosomal RNA". It matches the Rfam family "Bacterial small subunit ribosomal RNA", at positions 338 to 795 of the family's 1533-position model. The record is from RNAcentral.
CCUACGGGAGGCAGCAGUGGGGAAUAUUGGACAAUGGGGGAAACCCUGAUCCAGCGACGCCGCGUGAGUGAAGAAGUAUUUCGGUACGUAAAGCUCUAUCAGCAGGAAAGAAAAUGACGGUACCUGACUAAGAAGCCCCGGCUAACUACGUGCCAGCAGCCGCGGUAAUACGUAGGGGGCAAGCGUUAUCCGGAUUUACUGGGUGUAAGGGGAGCGUAGACGGCAGAGCAAGUCUGGAGUGAAAUGCCGGGGCCCAACCCCGGACCUGCUCUGGAAACUGUGAAGCUGAGGUGCAGGAGGGGUAAGCGGAAGUCCGGGGGAGGCGGUGAAAUGCGUAGAUAUAAGCAGAACCCCGAUUGCGAAGGCAGCAUGCCGGCUUCCGACUGACGCUGAAGCACGAAAGCGUGGGGAUCGAACAGGAUUAGAUACCCUGGUAGUC